Non-coding RNA from Paramuricea clavata, 121 nucleotides. Lineage: Eukaryota; Metazoa; Cnidaria; Anthozoa; Malacalcyonacea; Plexauridae. The record is from the annotation of a GenBank genome assembly.
UUUUCGCUUUAAUGUUAGCUCCUCAGGUGCAUAUUUACAAUGUAAAUAUGCACCUGAGGAGCUAACAUUGUAAAACAUUGUAAAUAUGCACCUGAGGAGCUAACAUUAAAGCGAAAACGUU